Molecule: ribosomal RNA, 775 nt
Filed under: uncultured Neocallimastigales
Lineage: Eukaryota; Fungi; Neocallimastigomycota; Neocallimastigomycetes; Neocallimastigales
Description: partial large subunit ribosomal RNA
Rfam family: Eukaryotic large subunit ribosomal RNA
Source: RNAcentral
UCAGACGAUGCGUCAUGCAUAUCAAUAAGCGGAGGAAAAGAAACUAACAAGGAUUUCCCUAGUAACGGCGAGUGAAGCGGGAAGAGCUCAAAUUUGAAAUCUUAAAGGGUUUCCCUUUACGAAUUGUAGUUUAAAGAAGUGUUUUCUGUUGAGGUUUUGGUAAAAGUUCUUUGGAAUAGGACAUCAUAGAGGGUGAGAAUCCCGUAUUUGACCUUUACUUUCAACUUUGUGAUACACUUUCAAAGAGUCGGAUUGUUUGGGAAUGCAGUCCAAAAUGGGUGGUAAAUUUCAUCUAAAGCUAAAUAUUGGCGAGAGACCGAUAGGCGAACAAGUACCGUGAGGGAAAGAUGAAGAGAACUUUGAAAAGAGAGUUAAACAGUACGUGAAAUUGUCAAAAGGGAAGCGUUUGACACCAGUGUUGUUUUUCUGAAAAUCAAUUAAAGAACUGUUUAUGCUAAGCUGUUUAGACUUUAUCAGCUAUCUGUUUAGUUUUGAGCUUUUCUUUAAUGCACUUUUCAGUUAACAAGUCAACAUCAAUUUCUUUUGCUGUAAAAAAGCUUGAGGAAGGUGGCUUGAGAUUCGUCUUAAGUGUUUAUAGCCUCUUGCCUAUGCAGUCGGAGAGAUUGAGGUCUGCAGCGUAGAUCCUUCGGGGCUAAAUGCAUUUGUGCUAAGUUAUAGCAUUUUAUAGACAACUUGUUGACUAUGAUUUGUCUUGUAGCUUACUCGCUUAUGUUAUUUUACCUACGCUUAGGAUGUUGAGCGCAUGUCUCUCUCU